Molecule: ribosomal RNA, 506 nt
Filed under: uncultured bacterium
Lineage: Bacteria
Description: bacterial SSU rRNA
Rfam family: Bacterial small subunit ribosomal RNA
Source: RNAcentral
UAGUCCACGCCGUAAACGAUGAUUACUCGCUGUAGGCGAUACACAGUCUGUGGCUAAGCGAAAGUUUUAAGUAAUCCACCUGGGGAGUACGAUCGCAAGAUUGAAACUCAAAGGAAUUGACGGGGGCCCGCACAAGCGGAGGAACAUGUGGUUUAAUUCGAUGAUACGCGAGGAACCUUACCUGGACUUAAAUGUGCGUUGCAUAGAUCAGAGAUGGUCUUUUCUUCGGACUACGUACAAGGUGCUGCAUGGUUGUCGUCAGCUCGUGCCGUGAGGUGUCGGGUUAAGUCCCAUAACGAGCGCAACCCCUUUUGUAGUUGCCAGCACGUAAUGGUGGGGACUCUAGCAAUACUGCCGGCGUAAGCCGCGAGGAAGGUGGGGACGACGUCAAAUCAUCAUGGCCUUUAUGCCUAGGGCGACACACGUGCUACAAUGGUCAGGACAGAGGGUAGCCAACCCGCGAGGGGGAGCCGAAAUCUCAGAAACCUGAUCUCAGUUCGGAUUGG